Molecule: long non-coding RNA, 151 nt
Filed under: Capra hircus (goat)
Lineage: Eukaryota; Metazoa; Chordata; Mammalia; Artiodactyla; Bovidae
Description: lncRNA (ENSCHIG00010015327.1)
Source: RNAcentral
AAAAGAGAAGCAAACAUGGGAAUUCUGGGGACCGUGAAGACUACCAUUCUUCCCAGGCUUUUGAAUUUUUCCUGCUGCUGUCUGCUUUUGGGUCUAGGCUCCCAGCCCCAUGGGAGAGGCCAACCAGUCGAGAGUCUCUGAGUUCCUCCUC